GUGCUCACUUAGCAGCCCAUAGACUAAAAUUGGAACAAUACAGACAGGAUUAGCAUGACCCCUGUGCAAAGAUGACAUGCAAAUUCGUGAAGCAUUCCAUAUUUUU
Molecule: small nuclear RNA, 106 nt
Filed under: Balaenoptera musculus (blue whale)
Lineage: Eukaryota; Metazoa; Chordata; Mammalia; Artiodactyla; Balaenopteridae
Source: RNAcentral